This 785-nucleotide ribosomal RNA is filed under the name uncultured Neocallimastigales. RNAcentral's name for it is "partial large subunit ribosomal RNA". It matches the Rfam family "Eukaryotic large subunit ribosomal RNA", at positions 24 to 649 of the family's 3401-position model. The record is from RNAcentral. Lineage: Eukaryota; Fungi; Neocallimastigomycota; Neocallimastigomycetes; Neocallimastigales.
UAUCUCUGUAGAGUCUGCAUAUCAAUAAGCGGAGGAAAAGAAACUAACAAGGAUUCCCCUUAGUAACGGCGAGUGAAGCGGGAAGAGCUCAAAUUUGAAAUCUUCAAGGGUUUACCUUGACGAAUUGUAGUUUAUAGAAGUGUUUUCUGUUAGAGAGGUUGGUAAAAGUUCUUUGGAAUAGGACAUCAUAGAGGGUGAGAAUCCCGUAUUUGAUCACAUUAUCUCCUAACUGUGUGAUAGCACUUUCAAAGAGUCGGAUUGUUUGGGAAUGCAGUCCAAAAUGGGUGGUAAAUUUCAUCUAAAGCUAAAUAUUGGCGAGAGACCGAUAGCGAACAAGUACCGUGAGGGAAAGAUGAAAAGAACUUUGAAAAGAGAGUUAAACAGUACGUGAAAUCGUCAAAAGGGAAGCGUUUGACACCAGUGUUGUUUUCUCGAAAAUCAAUUAAGGAUGGUGGGAUUUUAAGUUUCAUUGACCUUAUCAAGCUUGUCUGCUACUUUUUCCGGUCUUUCUUAAUGCACUUUUCGGUUAACAAGUCAACAUCAAUUUCUUUUGUUGUAAAAGAGUCAUGAGGAAGGUGGCUUUCCCUUUCGGAUGAAAGUGUUUAUAGCCUUGUACUUCUGCAAUCGGAGAGAUUGAGGUCUGCAGCGUAGAUCCUUCGGGGUUAGAUACACUUGUGCUAAGUUAUAGAUUUUUAUAGACAACUUGUUGACUAUGAUUAGUCAUGUAGCUUACUCGCUUAUGCUAUUUUACCUACGCUUAGGAUGUUGAGUAGCGACAUACGCAC